RNAcentral lists this ribosomal RNA (227 nucleotides) under Neobacillus niacini. Its description in RNAcentral is "Bacillus niacini partial 16S ribosomal RNA". It matches the Rfam family "Bacterial small subunit ribosomal RNA", at positions 307 to 526 of the family's 1533-position model. Lineage: Bacteria; Bacillati; Bacillota; Bacilli; Caryophanales; Bacillaceae. The record is from RNAcentral.
UCCACACUGGGACUGAGACACGGCCCAGACUCCUACGGGAGGCAGCAGUAGGGAAUCUUCCACAAUGGACGAAAGUCUGAUGGAGCAACGCCGCGUGAGCGAUGAAGGCCUUCGGGUCGUAAAGCUCUGUUGUUAGGGAAGAACAAGUACCGGAGUAACUGCCGGUACCUUGACGGUACCUAACCAGAAAGCCACGGCUAACUACGUGCCAGCAGCCGCGGUAAUAC